GGCGGCGUGCCUAAUACAUGCAAGUCGAGCGGACAGAAGGGAGCUUGCUCCCGGAUGUUAGCGGCGGACGGGUGAGUAACACGUGGGUAACCUGCCUGUAAGACUGGGAUAACUCCGGGAAACCGGAGCUAAUACCGGAUAGUUCCUUGAACCGCAUGGUUCAAGGAUGAAAGACGGUUUCGGCUGUCACUUACAGAUGGACCCGCGGCGCAUUAGCUAGUUGGUGAGGUAACGGCUCACCAAGGCGACGAUGCGUAGCCGACCUGAGAGGGUGAUCGGCCACACUGGGACUGAGACACGGCCCAGACUCCUACGGGAGGCAGCAGUAGGGAAUCUUCCGCAAUGGACGAAAGUCUGACGGAGCAACGCCGCGUGAGUGAUGAAGGUUUUCGGAUCGUAAAGCUCUGUUGUUAGGGAAGAACAAGUGCAAGAGUAACUGCUUGCACCUUGACGGUACCUAACCAGAAAGCCACGGCUAACUACGUGCCAGCAGCCAGCGGUAAUACGUAGGUGGCAAGCGUUGUCCGGAAUUAUUGGGCGUAAAGGGCUCGCAGGCGGUUUCUUAAGUCUGAUGUGAAA
Molecule: ribosomal RNA, 579 nt
Filed under: Firmicutes bacterium TH-H16
Lineage: Bacteria; Bacillati; Bacillota
Description: bacterial SSU rRNA
Rfam family: Bacterial small subunit ribosomal RNA
Source: RNAcentral